GGAGGGGUGUCCGAGUGGUUGAAGGAGGCGGUCUUGAAAACCGUUGAGCCCUUGCGGGUUCCGUGGGUUCGAAUCCCACCCCCUCCGCCA
Molecule: transfer RNA, 90 nt
Filed under: Syntrophaceticus sp.
Lineage: Bacteria; Bacillati; Bacillota; Clostridia; Thermoanaerobacterales; Thermoanaerobacterales Family III. Incertae Sedis
Description: tRNA-Ser
Rfam family: tRNA
About the family: Transfer RNA (tRNA) molecules are approximately 80 nucleotides in length. Their secondary structure includes four short double-helical elements and three loops (D, anti-codon, and T loops).
Source: RNAcentral